GUUCUACCUUGACGAAUUGUAGUUUAAAGAAGUGUUUUCUGUUAGAGGAGUGGCAAAAGUUCUCUGGAAUAGGACAUCAUAGAGGGUGAGAAUCCCGUAUUUGGUCAUUCUUUCUAGCUGCGUGAUACACUUUCAAAGAGUCGGAUUGUUUGGGAAUGCAGUCCAAAAUGGGUGGUAAAUUUCAUCUAAAGCUAAAUAUUGGCGAGAGACCGAUAGCGAACAAGUACCGUGAGGGAAGGAUGAAAAGAACUUUGAAAAGAGAGUUAAACAGUACGUGAAAUUGUCAAAAGGGAAGCGUUUGACACCAGUGUUGUUUUCUCGAAAAUCAAUUAAAAAUGGUGGGAUUUUGUGUUGUAUUGACUUUAUCAGCUUUCUGCACUUUUUUCCUAUCUUUUUU
This 397-nucleotide ribosomal RNA is filed under the name uncultured Neocallimastigomycetes. Its description in RNAcentral is "eukaryotic LSU rRNA". It matches the Rfam family "Eukaryotic large subunit ribosomal RNA", at positions 127 to 520 of the family's 3401-position model. The record is from RNAcentral. Lineage: Eukaryota; Fungi; Neocallimastigomycota; Neocallimastigomycetes.